RNA transcript from Gavialis gangeticus (Gharial), 4534 nucleotides. It is a transcript of the gene named integrator complex subunit 4, with no coding region annotated. NCBI's taxonomy places the organism in Eukaryota, Metazoa, Chordata, Crocodylia, Gavialidae. The transcript has 24 exons. The record is from RefSeq and is a predicted model, not a curated record.
GCCGGCUACGGUGGCGGCUGCGGCUCAAGCCGCGCAGGAGGUGAAAGGUGGCGGCCAAGAUGGCGGCGCACCUGAAGAAGCGGGUGUACGAGGAGUUCACCAAAGUGGUGCAGCAGCACGAGGAGCCGGCGGCCAAGAAGCUGCGCCUGGCCAAGCCCAGUAAGUCGGCGGCGCUGCACGUGGACCUGUGCAAGGCCGCCUCGGCCGCCGACGCGCUGCAGCAUCUGCUGCACUUCGCCCGCCAGCCCGUGGAGGCCGAGAGCGUCGAGGGCGUCGUCCGCAUCCUGCUCGAGCACUACUACAAGGAGAAUGAUACCUCUGUAAGAUUAAAGAUUGCUUCCUUGCUGGGCUUGCUAUCAAAAACGGCAGGAUUCUCUCCAGAUUGCAUUAUGGAUGAUGCCAUUAAUGCGCUUCAAAAUGAAAAGUCCCACCAAGUUCUUGCUCAGCUGCUGGACACGCUGCUGGUGAUUGGAACUAAACUCACAGAGAAUGCAGCUGUCAGAAUGAGACUGGUAGAUGUAGCCUGCAAGCAUCUGACAGACGCUUCCCAUGGUGUACGAAACAAGUGCCUCCAGCUAAUAGGCUAUCUUGGAUCUGUGGAAAAAGGUGUUACAAAAGAAGCAGAAAGCCAAGCUACUAAGGAUGUCCAGAAGAUAAUUGGGGACCACUUCAGUGACCAGGACCCACGUGUUAGGACUGCAGCUAUAAAAGCUAUGCUGCAGCUGCAUGAAAGAGGAUUAAAAUUGCAGCAGACUAUUUACAGCCAGGCUUGCAAACUGCUCUCAGAUGAUUAUGAACAAGUGCGCAGUGCCGCAGUUCACUUGGUAUGGGUCCUCAGUCAGCUGUAUCCAGAAAGCAUUGUCCCGAUUCCAUCUUCCAAUGAAGAAAUCCGCCUAGUGGAUGAUGCAUUUGGAAAAAUUUGUCACAUGGUCAGCGAUGGCUCAUGGGUUGUUAGAGUGCAAGCUGCUAAACUGUUGGGAUCUAUGCAGCAAGUGAGUUCCCAUUUCUUAGAACAGACGCUUGACAAGAAGCUGAUGUCUGAUCUGAGGAGGAAGCGAACUGCACAUGAACGAGCCAAAGAACUCUACAGUUCUGGGGAGUUUUCAAGUGGCAGAAAAUGGGGAGAUGAUGCCCCCAAAGAAGAAAUAGACACAGGUGCUGUGAACCUGAUUGAGUCGGGAGCUUGUGGGGCCUUUGUCCACGGCCUGGAAGAUGAGAUGUAUGAGGUUCGGAUUUCUGCAGUCGAGGCUCUCUGUAUGCUGGCUCAGUCUUCACCAUCUUUUGCAGAGAAAUGUCUUGAUUUUCUAGUAGACAUGUUUAAUGACGAGAUUGAAGAGGUGAGAUUGCAGUCAAUACAUACCAUGAGAAAGAUCUCCAACAACAUCACGCUGCGAGAAGACCAGCUUGAUACUGUGCUGGCUGUCUUGGAAGAUUCCUCCCGAGACAUUCGGGAAGCACUUCACGAGCUACUCUGUUGCACCAAUGUUUCUACGAAAGAAGGCAUCCACCUUGCACUUGUGGAGCUACUGAAAAACCUAACUAAGUAUCCUACUGACAGAGAGUCCAUUUGGAAAUGCUUGAAGUUCUUGGGAAGCAGACAUCCAACUCUGGUGCUUCCACUGGUCCCAGAGCUGCUGAGUACGCACCCAUUUUUUGACACGCCAGAGCCAGAUAUGGAUGACCCAGCCUAUAUUGCUGUUCUUGUCCUCAUUUUUAAUGCUGCUAAAACUUGCCCAACAAUGCCAGCGUUAUUCUCAGAUCACACCUUUAGGCACUAUGCCUAUCUUCGUGACAGUCUCUCCCAUCUUGUCCCUCCAUUGAGAUUACCAGAUAGAAAGCUGGUGUCCUCCCCUGUGUCCCAGAGCCUUACACCGCAUGAAGAUCCUUCCCAGCAGUUCUUGCAGCAGAGUCUUGAGCGAGUUUACAAUCUUCAGCACUUGGACCCACAGGGCACACAGGAACUGCUCGAAUUCACCAUACGUGACCUCCAGAGGCUUGGAGAACUGCAGUCAGAACUGGCAGGGGUGGCAGACUUCACUGCAACUUACCUUCGGUGUCAGCUGCUUCUCAUCAAGGCCCUUCAGGAAAAACUGUGGAACGUGGCUGCUCCUCUGUACCUGAAGCAGAAUGCAUUGGCAUCAGCAGCAGCAAGACAGAUUAUGGAAGAAACUUAUAAAAUGGAGUUCAUGUACAGUGGAGUAGAAAAUAGACAAGUGGUCAUUAUUCAUCACAUGAGACUGCAAGCAAAAGCGUUACAGCUUAUAGUGACUGCACGUACCACAAGAGGAGUGGAACCCCUUUUUGGGAUGUGUGAAAAGUUUUUACAGGAGGUGGACUCUUUUCAGAGAUGUUUUAUCUCUGAGCUCCCCCACAUGCAAGGCAGUUUUGUGGAUAAGCUGCUAGACCUGAUGCCCAGGCUUGUGACCUCCAAGCCUUCAGAAGUGGUAAAAAUCCUGCAAACAACGCUACGACAAAGUGCCUUCCUUCACCUUCCUCUGCCAGAGCAGCUCCAUAAAGCUUCUGCAAACAUCAUUGAACCUACUGGUGAAUCUGAUAACCCUCUGAGGUUCACAUCAGGGUUAGUUGUGGCUUUGGAUGUUGAUUCAACUCUGGAACAUGUGCAGGAUCCUCAGAGCACAGUUAAAGUUCAGGUAUUAUAUCCAGAUGGGCAGGCACAGUUAAUUCAUCCUAAACCAGCGGACUUUCGAAAUCCUGGUCCUGGAAGGCACAGGUUGAUCACUCAAGUUUACCUUUCGCACACUGCCUGGACAGAGCCAUGUCAGAUUGAAGUGAGGUUACUACUGGCAUACAAUUCCAGUAGGAGCAAAGCUUCCACUAAAAUCUCCAAAUCCACGUGGAGCGACAGCAUGGACGCUUUUCCACAGUCUGAAAGUGGCAUUGAAGGAACUAUCCCAUUCAGCAAACCAGUCAAAGUGUAUAUAAUGCCCAAACCUGCCAGACGGUGAAGUCAAUUGCUAAAAGACUUUAUCUGUGGGAUUGCUGGGUUACGUGUACACAGAUUAUUGUAUUGCAAGAUAGUGGAUCAAACCAUAAUAGUGUUCUGUUAAAGUGAAAGACUGCAAAACGCAAUGAAGAAUACAGCUAUGAAAGAAUAAGUGGCCUCCUUUAUUAAAAGACUGGUUACAGCAUAAGUUAUGAAUAGGUACCAUGAACACAGGCAUUUCUAAAUCAAAUCAAGAAAAGUGAGACACUUAAUGUUGACGUUCCAUCCAUUACUCUUUUUAUUGGGUCAAAUUCUGCAGUCCUGAGUUCCUCCUCUAGGAAAGAUCUCCUGUAGAGGCCACUGGGAGUUUUGCCUAAGUGAGGAUUUGGUAAAACUGGCAGUGUUUACUAUGUAAAUACUUAGUAAGGCAUUAUAGAUGCUUAUUAUGGUUUAAUGAUGAUCUGAAAUAGAGCAGAUUUUUUUGGAAUGUCUAAAAUGUGUAUUGGUCUUUCAGCGCUGGGUAAAGAUUUUUUUCCUACAGCACUGCUGUAUCUGGGUAGGAGCCACUUCUCAAAAUGCAACACUGGGCUGUUCCUGGGCUGGCUUAUGCCUUUGCCGCCAUAUUGAAGGCAGUGAAUGAUUGAUGCCUCUUGCCACUCCAAAGUUUUUGGUGCCUUGGCUGUUUUAAAGAAAAACAAAAAAUCCAAACAACCCUUUUGCAAACCUGGAGGCUUUCUGUUUCAGGGUAGGCUCCUUACCUGAGAACAAUGGUAAUGCAACACCCGUGUAAAAUCACUGAGUUGCCUCUGCAUAUAAUGAAGAAGAUGCUCUAUAUUUUUACCUUGUCAUUGUUAACACUCCUUCUUACUUGCUUUCUGUACGUCUCUGUGAAGAAUGUGUGCAGUGGCACAGGCAAAAAAAACCCCAACCAGCUAGCUGUCCUGUCAGUAAGACGCAGGUUCUUCUGCUGCUGUGCUGUGCUCUGGAGCUGAAGCAGAUCUUGUUGUGGCAUGAUAAAUGGUCUUUCAGGAUAUACAGUUCUGAAUCAGUUCAGUAGUGCUCUCUCUCUAUUAAAUUAGUGAGAUCAGUAGUCCAGGCUUAUUAUCAGGUGGGAAGAAGGGGCAGUUAGGGAUGAAAUGAAAGGAACAAGGAGCCUUGCCUAGAGGAUAGGCACCAUGGCAUCCUUCCACUGGAGCAGAAUGACUGUUCCUGUCUAGUGGCCUCAGACUCCGGAGGGGUUGUUCUUGCCCAAGUUCUGUUGCUUCUGGAGCUUCAGCUGAGAAGGUAUAUCUUGACACCGCUCCCCAGCACAGGCUUGUGUUUCAAAGGCCUGUAGGAGCACCCUGUGACCCCCUAGCAGCCUGUAAUACAAUUUACUAGAAAUGCAUGGUAUAUGAAUUUUUCCAGCACAAUGGCCAAAUAUUCCCUGUGUUCAUAAAUUAUUUGUAAAAAAGUAUAUUUGCAGCAGGUAAGUCAGAUAGCUGAGGAUGAUAGUAAAUCCUUCCAUUCACUUGUAUAGAGACUAGCAUAACACAUUAUGCAUAAACCCUUUUAAAUGUGCUUUUGUACAAUAAACUUGGAAAACGCCAA